CCUGGUUGAUUCUGCCAGUAGUCAUAUGCUUGUCUCAAAGAUUAAGCCAUGCAUGUCUAAGUAUAAGCAAUUAUACCGUGAAACUGCGAAUGGCUCAUUAAAUCAGUUAUCGUUUAUUUGAUAAUACCUUACUACUUGGAUAACCGUGGUAAUUCUAGAGCUAAUACAUGCUGAAAAUCCCGACUUCGGAAGGGAUGUGUUUAUUAGAUAAAAAACCAAUGCCCUUCGGGGCUUUUUGGUGAUUCAUGAUAACUUUACGGAUCGCAUAGCCUUGCGCUGGCGACGGUUCAUUCAAAUUUCUGCCCUAUCAACUUUCGAUGGUAAGGUAUUGGCUUACCAUGGUUUCAACGGGUAACGGGGAAUUAGGGUUCGAUUCCGGAGAGGGAGCCUGAGAAACGGCUACCACAUCCAAGGAAGGCAGCAGGCGCGCAAAUUACCCAAUCCCGACACGGGGAGGUAGUGACAAUAAAUACUGAUACGGGGCUCUUUUGGGUCUCGUAAUUGGAAUGAGUACAAUCUAAAUCCCUUAACGAGGAACAAUUGGAGGGCAAGUCUGGUGCCAGCAGCCGCGGUAAUUCCAGCUCCAAUAGCGUAUAUUAAAGUUGUUGCAGUUAAAAAGCUCGUAGUUGAACCUUGGGUCUGGCUGGCCGGUCCGCCUCACCGCGAGUACUGGUCCGGCUGGACCUUUCCUUCUGGGGAACCUCAUGGCCUUCACUGGCUGUGGGGGGAACCAGGACUUUUACUGUGAAAAAAUUAGAGUGUUCAAAGCAGGCCUUUGCUCGAAUACAUUAGCAUGGAAUAAUAGAAUAGGACGUGCGGUUCUAUUUUGUUGGUUUCUAGGACCGCCGUAAUGAUUAAUAGGGAUAGUCGGGGGCGUCAGUAUUCAGCUGUCAGAGGUGAAAUUCUUGGAUUUGCUGAAGACUAACUACUGCGAAAGCAUUCGCCAAGGAUGUUUUCAUUAAUCAGGGAACGAAAGUUAGGGGAUCGAAGACGAUCAGAUACCGUCGUAGUCUUAACC
The sequence is a ribosomal RNA, 1018 nucleotides long. It matches the Rfam family "Eukaryotic small subunit ribosomal RNA", at positions 3 to 1031 of the family's 1831-position model.